RNAcentral lists this ribosomal RNA (427 nucleotides) under Mycobacteriaceae bacterium Ellin7063. RNAcentral's name for it is "bacterial SSU rRNA". It matches the Rfam family "Bacterial small subunit ribosomal RNA", at positions 28 to 456 of the family's 1533-position model. Lineage: Bacteria; Bacillati; Actinomycetota; Actinomycetes; Mycobacteriales; Mycobacteriaceae. The record is from RNAcentral.
GACGAACGCUGGCGGCGUGCUUAACACAUGCAAGUCGAACGGAAAGGCCCUUUCGGGGGUACUCGAGUGGCGAACGGGUGAGUAACACGUGGGUGAUCUGCCCUGCACUUUGGGAUAAGCCUGGGAAACUGGGUCUAAUACCGAAUACACCUUGCUGGCUGCAUGGCUGGUGGGGGAAAGCUUUUGCGGUGUGGGAUGGGCCCGCGGCCUAUCAGCUUGUUGGUGGGGUGAUGGCCUACCAAGGCGACGACGGGUAGCCGGCCUGAGAGGGUGUCCGGCCACACUGGGACUGAGAUACGGCCCAGACUCCUACGGGAGGCAGCAGUGGGGAAUAUUGCACAAUGGGCGCAAGCCUGAUGCAGCGACGCCGCGUGAGGGAUGACGGCCUUCGGGUUGUAAACCUCUUUCAGUAUCGACGAAGCGCAAG